GAUCUUCAACGGUCGAGAUUGGGGUAGUGCGCAAAAUGAGUGAUUCACACCUGUGGACACACUUUGCCAUGCAGGCCACUGGAUGCUGACUACUGAAGGUUAGGUUGUGUGUGAUGGUGCUCAGCACAGCUUCAUGUCUGGCCUUCCCACUCUGUUCAUAGCAUGUUACAUAUUCAAUCUUGAGUACCAGGAUGGGUCAGCGUGUAUCUUGGAGUCCACUGAAAGAUAUUAAUCCAGAGAGCGGAACAAGAAGAAGCGUCAUUUAAAAUGCCAGGAUACAGAAGAAACAGGUUGCAGUGAACCCACAUGUUGCCGCUCUUCUAAACACAAUGAUGAAUUUUCAGUGUAAUCGAUGAAAAUUCCAGCCACUUGUUGUGCUCUGAUGGAUCAAGAAUGUGGACCGUUUUACAGACUCACUUGGGCCUUGUUUUGCAAUGUUGUUUCAUGAUGGUAAUGUUGGUUAACGUGUUGUUAAACAUGAAUGUUUAAAGAGCCAUGUUGGAUACUAUGAAGUUGUAACUGAAUAAAAUUAUUUCAUGUACAACAACGUACACAAUUCGUCUGUAA
Molecule: long non-coding RNA, 567 nt
Organism: Triplophysa dalaica
Lineage: Eukaryota; Metazoa; Chordata; Actinopteri; Cypriniformes; Nemacheilidae
Exons: 4
Source: RefSeq, a predicted model, not a curated record